UUUAUUAGAUGAAACAAAAAGAAAAUAAAAAUGAAAAGAAAAAGAGAAGACCAUGUAGUUCAAAUGCUCUAGUCAGAAAUUAUAAAUCCAUGAAAAGAUUGCCCCGGUAUAAUUUGGAAAUUAACACAAAAUUGAGUCAAUAGGAUGACCCAUCAUUCAGAAGUUCACAAAGUGUGAGGCAUAUGAAGUCUUGGUCAACUACACUAGGGCUUUAGCCAUCAUAUUCUUCAUUUUUCCGAUCGGAUCUUGCAGCAAUUGAGGAAAGUUUCAAUCCCCUUAAGCAGGUUAAAGAGCGACACUGCAGACUCAGCAUCAGCAAAUAACUUAGGGAUGACUUCAAUGGCUUCAUUGGUAAGGGAAACUAGCUGUGAGAGGCUUCACUUUCAAUUCUCCCUUGUUCAGCAACAUGUUCCUUUAUUUGAAUUAUCAAUUCUUGAUGUCUCCUUUUUAGCAUGACGCUAACCUUUCCUCUUUUGUUUGGCCACUGCUGCUUUCACACGUUGUUCAACAUUGUGAAAUUACUUUUCAUCAUUUGGGUCAGGAGAAAUUAACUUGGAUGACAACUUGACUGUAUUAACCCUCGUUGUGAUCAAUCUGGCUGAGAGAANUCUUUCAUUAACGGUCCAUGAUCUUAGGCCUCUCUUCGAACUCUGUAGCUCNCCCUUUGUUCAACAACAUACUUUUUCUGCUGAAUCACCAACCUUUUGAUGCCUUCUUUUUUAGCUCAACGAUGUCGUUCCUCCUUCAGUUUUGCCACUACUGCUCUCACCCGCUGCUUAGCAUUAUGAACUUGUUUUUCGCAGUUUAGGUAAGGAGAAAGUAACUUGAAUGGCAACUUGAUUGUCUUAACCCUUUUCUUGAUCAAUUUGGCUAAGGGAAUCUUUCNCUAAUAGUNCAUGAUCUUGGGCUUCUCUUCAAGCGAACAACGUUGCCCCAAGUGUCCCUAGCAUGAAGCAUUUCAGUAAAGGUCUCUUCCUCAAAAUAUCGGCAAUGUGGUAAGAGAUGCAGGUGUUGACGACCCUCUCACAGGAUACCCCAAUUAUUUUUCUUUCUUUUUUUUUUCUUUCUAUUUUUGUUUUUUUUUUCUUUCUUCUCUUUUUUUUUGUUUCUUUUUGUUUUUUUUUCUUCUUUUGUUCCUUUUUCUAUUUUUUUUUGUUAGCACAUACACAACAAUGGAUACUCAUGAAGGGGACAUUGGGGUAAUUCCUGCAAUGGUGUCUGAUACAUAAUAUUUGCUGCCAAGAGACAUGCCAGUUAAACUUUUCCUCUUCUGAGCUUGCACAGAACUGAGCUCACUCAUUUACCAUUUUCAUCUUUGGUUUAUAUUGCAGUAGUUCACUUAGGGGACAUAUGGCAUUCAAAGUACCCCUACUCAUGCGAAAGAUGAACCACAUAGGGAACACUGGUAAACAACAUAACAUCUUCCUGACCUUUAGCUCAUGACACUUAUUAAGAGUCUCGUAAAUUUUAGUUAGGACACCCAAGAUUGGACUCUCAAAGCAAACUUUUUAUCCUGUAAAUGCACUCAUUGCGGCGUAGUCAACAAAAUUCCUGGUGCUAGGAAAAAGCAUGACACCAUAGUCGAUAAGAGCAAGUACAUUCACUUUCCCUCCUCGGUCAACCAAUGCAAGAACCACCAUAGGUAUCCUUGAGGAAAGUCCCUUGUUGUACCUUUAAGUAUGAAUUCACUCUCCAACUUCAUAGGGGGAACUUUCAUUAUCAUUGCU
This 1727-nucleotide long non-coding RNA is filed under the name Vigna radiata. RNAcentral's name for it is "long non-coding RNA (VRAD_LNC012472)". The record is from RNAcentral. Lineage: Eukaryota; Viridiplantae; Streptophyta; Magnoliopsida; Fabales; Fabaceae.